This 20-nucleotide unclassified non-coding RNA is filed under the name Chlamydomonas reinhardtii. RNAcentral's name for it is "small RNA Cre_1750". Lineage: Eukaryota; Viridiplantae; Chlorophyta; Chlorophyceae; Chlamydomonadales; Chlamydomonadaceae. The record is from RNAcentral.
GCGGAUGUGGCGCAGCUGGU